AUGAUGGCCGUGGGAGAGACCCUUGCGGGGGCGCCGAAGGAGCAAACCGGUUUCUUGAGGGAGAAACCCGUUAAACUCUCAGGCAAAAGGACUGUGGCCGGACG
RNAcentral lists this non-coding RNA (104 nucleotides) under Desulforamulus ruminis. RNAcentral describes it as "Desulfotomaculum ruminis Glycine sequence". It matches the Rfam family "Glycine riboswitch aptamer". Rfam says of the family: This family represents the bacterial glycine riboswitch. Glycine riboswitches usually consist of two metabolite-binding aptamers domains with similar structures in tandem. RNAcentral also lists the same sequence under 1 other name. The record is from RNAcentral. Lineage: Bacteria; Bacillati; Bacillota; Clostridia; Eubacteriales; Peptococcaceae.